Molecule: ribosomal RNA, 497 nt
Filed under: uncultured bacterium
Lineage: Bacteria
Description: partial 16S ribosomal RNA
Rfam family: Bacterial small subunit ribosomal RNA
Source: RNAcentral
GACGAACGCUGGCGGCGUGCCUAAUACAUGCAAGUUGAGCGCUGAAGGUUGGUACUUGUACCAACUGGAUGAGCAGCGAACGGGUGAGUAACGCGUGGGGAAUCUGCCUUUGAGCGGGGGACAACAUUUGGAAACGAAUGCUAAUACCGCAUAAAAACUUUAAACACAAGUUUUAAGUUUGAAAGAUGCAAUUGCAUCACUCAAAGAUGAUCCCGCGUUGUAUUAGCUAGUUGGUGAGGUAAAGGCUCACCAAGGCGAUGAUACAUAGCCGACCUGAGAGGGGGAUCGGCCACAUUGGGACUGAGACACGGCCCAAACUCCUACGGGAGGCAGCAGUAGGGGAUCUUCGGCAAUGGACGAAAGUCUGACCGGGCAACGCCGCGUGAGGGAAGAAGGGUUUCGGAUCGUAAAACUCUGUUGGUAGAGAAGAACGUUGGUGAGAGUGGAAAGCUCAUCAAGUGACGGUAACUACCCAGAAAGGGACGGCUAACUACGUG